AUGCGGGGGCGACAGCCUGAUGAGGUCAACCAGACUUCUGUCAGGCCCUGUGAAAUCAAUGACAUUCUGUCCCUUUGGAUCGAAGGUUUAAGGAUUCAGGAUCGAAGGAACCAGAGUCCCUAAUCUGCCAGGAGACUCCGCCAGGACCGGAAGGGAGCAACGGUAUCCUGGACUCUUGAUGCUGAAGGGGUGCGGGAUCGAGAGGAAACAGGGGGAACCUGCCAGGACAUCUGGCCCGAUUCAGGCGUGUCCGGUU
Molecule: signal recognition particle RNA, 256 nt
Filed under: Thermoplasmatales archaeon
Lineage: Archaea; Methanobacteriati; Thermoplasmatota; Thermoplasmata; Thermoplasmatales
Description: partial signal recognition particle sRNA
Rfam family: Archaeal signal recognition particle RNA
Source: RNAcentral